Molecule: ribosomal RNA, 207 nt
Filed under: uncultured bacterium
Lineage: Bacteria
Description: partial 16S ribosomal RNA
Rfam family: Bacterial small subunit ribosomal RNA
Source: RNAcentral
UGUGUAGGCGGUUCUCUAAGUUUGGUGUGAAAUCUCCCGGCUCAACUGGGAGGGUGCGCCGAAAACUGGGGGGCUAGAGUACUGGAUGGGAGAGUGGAAUUCCUGGUGUAGCGGUGAAAUGCGUAGAUAUCAGGAGGAACACCUGUGGUGUAGACGGCUCUCUGGACAGUAACUGACGCUGAGACACGAAAGCGUGGGUAGCAAACA